RNAcentral lists this non-coding RNA (170 nucleotides) under Gottschalkia purinilytica. RNAcentral describes it as "Clostridium purinilyticum T-box sequence". It matches the Rfam family "T-box leader". From Rfam's summary of the family: Uncharged tRNA acts as the effector for transcription antitermination of genes in the T-box leader family. Lineage: Bacteria; Bacillati; Bacillota; Tissierellia; Tissierellales; Gottschalkiaceae. The record is from RNAcentral.
UUGAAUGCUAUGAGGAAAAGAGUAACUAAAAUAAAUUAUUAAAGCGAGCUAGUGAUAGUGAAAGUCUAGUAUAAUUUUUUUAGUGAAAGGCAUUUCUGAGCAUUAUUAUAAAGCGGACAUUUUUUAUGUCAAGUAGGGUGGAACCGCGGAAGUAACCUUUCGUCCCUAUA